This is a long non-coding RNA of Oncorhynchus tshawytscha (Chinook salmon), 1252 nucleotides long. The record is from Ensembl. NCBI's taxonomy places the organism in Eukaryota, Metazoa, Chordata, Actinopteri, Salmoniformes, Salmonidae.
CACAAAACAACCCAUAAGACAUUACAAUUUCACAGCUCCUUACGGCCUGGGUGGGUAUUUUCAUAACAAUAUAGAUUCACUUACGUGAACCGAACGUUUGUUGGUUCACAUUAGAAAAGCAAAACAAGUUAUAUACAAUACAUAAAGCAGCGCAAUAUGACAACGCCACAGUUAAACACACAGACAGACCUCAAAUAGAAAGCCUUCUAGCACAGUCUCACAGCUAGUCUCACAGUCUCACGGCUAGUGUCAGUCUCACGGCUAGUGUCAGUCUCACGGCUAGUGUCAUAGUUUCAUAGUGUCAUAGUCUCAUAGUGUCAUAGUCUCACGGCUAGUGUCACGGCUAGUGUCACAGCUAGUGUCAUAGUGUCACGACUAGUGUCAUAGUCUCAUAGUGUCAUAGUCUCACGGCUAGUGUCACAGCUAGUGUCAUAGUGUCACGGCUAGUGUCAUAGUCUCAUAGUGUCACAGUCUCACGGCUAGUGUCAAGUCUCACGGCUAGUGUCACAUCUCACGGCUAGUGUCACAGUCUCACAGCUAGUGUCAUAGUGUCACGGCUAGUGUCAUAGUGUCAUAGUCUCAUAGUGUCAUAGUCUCACGUGUCACAGCUAGUGUCAUAGUGUCACGACUAGUGUCAUAGUUUCAUAGUGUCAUAGUCUCAUAGUGUCAUAGUCUCACGGCUAGUGUCACGACUAGUGUCAAUAGUCUCACGGCUAGUGUCAUGGUCUCACGGCUAGUGUCACGACUAGUGUCAUAGUCUCACGGCUAGUGUCAAUGGUCUCACGGCUAGUUGUCAUGGUCACACGGCCAGUGUCAUAGUCUCACGGCCAGUGUCAUAGUCUCACGGCCAGUGUCAUAGUCUCACGGCCAGUGUCAUAGUCUCACGGCCAGUGUCAUAGUCUCACGGCCAGUGUCAUAGUCUCACGGCCAGUGUCUUAGUCUCACGGCCAGUGUCAUAGUCUCACGGCCAGUGUCAUAGUCUCACGGCCAGCGUCAUAGUCUCACGGCCAGUGUCAUAGUCUCACGGCCAGUGUCAUAGUCCACAUUCCUAUCAUUUGAGCCAGACUAUUUCCCCCCUCAUGCAGAGCCUGUAGCUAGAAUCCACCCCUCUUUUUCCACCGGUGCCAAGGCACUCUUCUCGCUCCCUAGUAGGCUGGUUCUGUUCUCUGGUCGUCUUGGCAGCCUGCCCUCCCCCCAGGAUUGGUGCUCUCCACUGGGCCGGCCCUUCACUGUGAAGCCUAACAGGACUCGG